Molecule: ribosomal RNA, 460 nt
Filed under: uncultured bacterium
Lineage: Bacteria
Description: partial 16S ribosomal RNA
Rfam family: Bacterial small subunit ribosomal RNA
Source: RNAcentral
CCUACGGGAGGCAGCAGUGAGGAAUAUUGGUCAAUGGGCGAGAGCCUGAACCAGCCAAGUCGCGUGAAGGAUGAAGGAUCUAUGGUUUGUAAACUUCUUUUAUAUGGGAAUAAAGUGAGGAACGUGUUCUUCUUUGUAUGUACCUUAUGAAUAAGGAUCGGCUAACUCCGUGCCAGCAGCCGCGGUAAUACGGAGGAUGCGAGCGUUAUCCGGAUUUAUUGGGUUUAAAGGGUGAGUAGGAGGGUUGUUAAGGCAGUGGUGAAAGUUUGUGGAUCAACCAUAAAAUUGCCGUUGAAAAUGGGAGACUUGAGUACAGGAGAGGAAGGCGGGAUGCGUGGUGGAGCGGUGAAAUGCAUAGAUAGCACGAAGAACUCCGAUUGCGAAGGCAGCCUGCUGGACUGUAACUGACGCUGAUGCUCGAAAGUGUGGGUAUCAAACAGGAUUAGAUACCCGGGUAGUC